Molecule: ribosomal RNA, 258 nt
Filed under: uncultured archaeon
Lineage: Archaea
Description: partial 16S ribosomal RNA
Rfam family: Archaeal small subunit ribosomal RNA
Source: RNAcentral
UGGCCGUAAACGAUGUGGACUUGGUGUUGGGAUGGCCUCGAGCUGCCCCAGUGCCGAAGGGAAGCUGUUAAGUCCACCGCCUGGGAAGUACGGUCGCAAGACUGAACUUAAAGGAAUUGGCGGGGGAGCACCACAACGCGUGGAGCCUGCGAUUUAAUUGGAUUCAACGCCGGACAUCUCACCAGGGGCGACAGCAGGAUGAUGGCCAGAUUGACGAUCUUGCUUGACAAGCUGAGAGGAGGUGCAUGGCGUGUGACU